UCCACUGCAUGGAUUGCUCUGCUCUUUCCCUUUGACAACAAACCAAAUGAUGGUGAAACUCAGCUACCUCUCUCUCUCUCUCUCUCUCUCUCUCUCUCUCACACACACACACACACACAUACACACACACACACACAAAAUCGCACACCCACCCAAUUGCCUCUUCAUCUCUCUUUCUUCCUCUCACCCAAUCGCACAAGUGCACCAUUGCAGAUCGUGAUUUCUAUUGCGGACUAAUUGCCAUUGUCGCCUUCUGCCGAUUGCCUUGUUCCGUUUUUAGGAGGUAUCGUGAAGUAUCUAAAAGCAAGGACCUUGUUCAGACGACAAUGACGCUUAUCUGGGUCAAAUCAGAUGUAUGAACUGUUCAGUGAACUCGGUAUUCAUCUCUGAGUCAACUUGAUGGGGUCUCUUGGAUUAUCUUUGGAGCAGCACCAUAUUUCCUCUCUAUUUUACUUUGCAAGUUAAAGCUGGUACGAACUUAGGAAUGUUGUCAGUUGGGUGUUAUGAGCUAAAACACUUAGGGUAGUGUGAGAGUGUCUUUGAGAGUGGAGUGUGGUGAGCAUUGAGGGUUGAGUGCAUGGUGAGCUUAUAUAUGAGGGUUAAGUGAUGUGAGCUCAUAAAUCUUUUACAUAUCUAUGUGCUAAUUUUUGUGCAGGUUGUCAAGUUGGUUUAAUAGUAUGAAGGAGGGUUGAGCUUGGUGGGGAUCUAUACAUAGGUUCUCUUCUUUUAAGGGAUGCGUGUUAUAAGCCAGAUUUUUCUAACUGUUUUUUAUGCAGAUUGUCAAGCUAGCACUUAUGUGAGGGAAAUCUUUGCUGAGGUUUGAGUGAAUUUAGUCCAUAUACUGCUUGUAGGGUUGAGAGUUGUUUGAAAGUUGAGAUUUUUUUGAAUUGUUUGUCUAUUGUUCUUUGUUUGUCUGCCUUAUAUUUGCUGUUGCUUUGUUCCUGUUGCUGUCUCUGUUUGACUGAGAAGUUUGUUCAUGCUACACCUGUUUUGUUCAACCCCCCCAUAGUCUUGGUAUGUGGUGUUUGAACAGACCUUUGUUAUGCAAUGUGUUCAUAUUUCUAGGUGAGAAGUGACUGGUUCAUUUAGUCUGCUGGCUGUGUCGUUUGCUGUCCUGUUUGUUGUGUUGUUUACUAUCCCCCCCUAUAUUUCUGUCCUGUUUGCUGUGCUGCCUCUGUUCUGCUGUAAUGGUCUUGCCUGCUGCUAUAUUAGUGCUGCUAUGCUGGCCUGCUACAGAGCUGCUAGGUGCUAAGUGUCACUGUGUUUGGCAUGCUAUGCUGUUGAAAUCUCUUUUGUCAUAUUGGUAGCUCAGGAUGUUGUUGGUUCAUGGUUUUGGUUUUUUUUUUAUGUUUUCUUGUUUUUGUUGUUCUGUAGUGUAGUGUAGUGUGUUGGCCGAGAUGGUCAUUUAGUUCUAGUUUUGUUGACAUAUGGCUGCUGUUGUUGUUUUUAGUUUGUUAGGUCUUCCUGAGGAAUGCCUCUUGUAUAUCUAUACAUUCUUUUAUCUUAAUUUGUAACUUACUUACCCAAAAAAAUAAAGUUUUCUGUUAUAUCAAUUUGAGUAGUUAGAUUGAACAUUGAGCUUUUUACUAGAGUUUAUCUUUUGUGAACUAAUCAUUUCUUUUUUGGUAAUGAGGUUAUCUAAAGUAUCCCCCUGUCCUGACGCUCUUAACACAAUACACCAGACCUUAGCAACACGUGAUCUACAGACUGACCAGAGCAGUAUAUAGAAGCAACAAUUAUUAGCAAUUCUAGAUGACACUACCUUCCUCCUUACUAAUAGAUCGCAAGUAGUGAUUAUAUUUAUUUUUUUUCGCAUUGUGAACCAACAAAAAAACUUGGAACUCAUAACCAAAUGAUAUAAUCUACUCAUGGAGGCUACAGAAAAUAAAUCAUCAUUUGCAUAACUCCAUGACAUUCUAUCAUGAGUUUGAUUGUUGCCCUUAAAGGCAUCCGAUAAUCUUAUAAUUUCUCCUCUUCUUUUUCCCAGAGAUAAAGUUCUCUAUUAUUACUUAACUUCUAUCCAAUGCUCUCUCUCUCCUUUAAUGGCCACAAUAUUAGAUAUAACCUUUUUUUUCUUUUUUCUUUUUUGUAAUGACUAGGCUAAGCUACUCAUAAAGACAAAUUGCCUACCCAUUUCAAAAUGUGUCCCAGCACCAACUAUUAAUUUGAAACUCUGUUUUAUCAAAUUACUAAGUAUUGUCUCACCCCUUACCAAUGAUAUAAUAUCAUACCAAUCCUUGAUACCUUCUUUGAAUUAAAUGUCUUAGGCAGCCAUGAAUUUUGCUCCAUAUUGUAUUUUUCACACAGAACUUUUGUUUAUAGCACAGGCAUAAUUUAUAAUUUUUAAGUGAUCCAAUACCCAUCUCACCAAAAUCUCUUGAUCUAGUCACAUUGUCCCAUUUAAUCAACCUAAGAUUUCUUUAAUCCUCCUUGUCUCUCAUAUGUAAGAAGCUACACUGAAAUUUCUCCAAUUCAUUAGCCACACAUAAGGAAUCUUAAAUACAGACAUAAAGUAAACUGGUAAAUUACCAAGUGUGGAAAGGAUUAAUAUAAUCCUAGUUAAACUCAUAAUGUAAGUUUAAAUUUUCGUUACUGCUAAUAUUAAUAAUAAGAACUUGCUUUUCUUUUGCCUUCUUAAAUGUAGGAUGUUGAAGAUGGAUAUUAUGAUUUUGCUCAAGUGCUGAGUGGAUAUGAGUAGAAGGCUUAUUCACUUGCAUAUUCAAUUGCAUUAAUCUUAGAAUUGCAUAUUGUCAUUGGUUAUGCAACAAUUGCAGCAGCAUCUCUAGGAUAUUGUUCAAAUUGGGAUUGACUUAAUUUUGUUUAUUUUUAGUUUCACUUUUAAUUAUUGUUUUGUAUAAACUUAAAUUUUGAAUUGUAAGAACAUGUGUAGGUAUAAAUAGAAAUAUAUAUAUUUGGAUGUUAAAAAAUUGAUGCAUGUGAAUUGUCGAAUUGAUGUGUGUGAAUAUUAUUUAUUGCUUAAGCAAUGAAUAAUUUAUUAUUGAAAAGUAAUUUGUUAUCUAUGAUGGUAGUUUUUGCCAUCCCAAAUACCAAAUUAUUAUUAUUUUUUAAACAAUUAGAUGUUUUACCAACACAACUAUUUGUCACUAAAAGUCUACUUUCGCCAAUGGAUAUUGCAUCGCCAAAAGUCUCAUUUUUUGCCGAUACAAUUUGGGUUGGCAAACAUAAUCAUCUUAUUUGAGCCAUUUUUGCCAACGUAGUCUAAAAUGGCGACGAUUGAUGAAGGCUUUUGUCGACUAAGAUGUUUGUCGCUAAAGACAUCACUGUUAUCGACGUAAUCAUAUUUCGUUGGCAAAAGUUUUUCCCGACACACCUUUGUCGACAAGUUGACGAAGCAACUUUAUGGGUCGGCAAAACUCUUUGCCAACGAUAUUUGCCUUUUCCUAACACAAUUUGUUGUGUGGGCAAAACUACUUUUUGUUGUAGUGCGUAUAUCUAUAACGAGGUAUUAAAAAGCAACAAAGAAAUCCCUAUCUCAAGCAAGAAGAGAAGAAAGCCCAAAAAUCCAUCUUCGAUGCUCAGGCUAAAUGGAAGCCCUUGCCAAGCUCUACGUUUUGGUAUAUGGAACUAGGGAUCAAAGAUGUAUAGAAAUAGAUUAAAUCAAGGUUAAAGAGCUUGAAAACUCAAAAAAUGAGGAAAGAGAGAGAAGAGAGAGUGAAAAUUGAAGAGA
Molecule: long non-coding RNA, 3688 nt
Organism: Camellia sinensis
Lineage: Eukaryota; Viridiplantae; Streptophyta; Magnoliopsida; Ericales; Theaceae
Source: RefSeq, a predicted model, not a curated record